UCUCAUUCUCUCUCUCAUCCCCAGGCCAGAGGCAGGCUCCAAUGGAGGCCACGGCAACGUGAAGAGUGGAGUUGGAGUUGUACUGCCCAUUUCCCCAACCCCAGUGAGAGAACCACCUCCACCCCCAAGAAACCAGGGCCACGCCAAGAACAACCCACGGCGCCCAGCUCGGUGCCCAAUUCCCCGAUCCCGCCACCGCCCACCGCGCGUGUUCGGCCGGCGAGUUCUUCUUGGCCUGGGUCGUUUCGUCUGUCCGUCGGUCGGAGCUCGGAAGGCAGGCAGGUAGGUAGGUCUCCAUUGUGAUCUGGGAAUUUGCCGGCCUCGCCUUGUUGGAUUUGGUUUACCGGGGCGUCCGCGAGAAAGUUGCGCGCUCUCCCUCUGCUUUUUCUCGCGGGGGGUCCAAGCUUUGAUCUGCGUCACACACCUGUUGUUCUUCUUAUCCUCAAGGCAUCCGAGCUGGAGGAGGGAGGGGCAGGCGGGCAGCGGACCACGGGCGGCACGUGACGAGCAGUUGGCGGUGGCGAGAAAGAGCAGCGACGAG
RNAcentral lists this long non-coding RNA (541 nucleotides) under Triticum aestivum (bread wheat). Its description in RNAcentral is "long non-coding RNA (TAES_LNC015972)". The record is from RNAcentral. Lineage: Eukaryota; Viridiplantae; Streptophyta; Magnoliopsida; Poales; Poaceae.